This 2188-nucleotide ribosomal RNA is filed under the name Escherichia coli. Its description in RNAcentral is "partial 23S ribosomal RNA". It matches the Rfam family "Bacterial large subunit ribosomal RNA", at positions 390 to 2563 of the family's 2925-position model. Lineage: Bacteria; Pseudomonadati; Pseudomonadota; Gammaproteobacteria; Enterobacterales; Enterobacteriaceae. The record is from RNAcentral.
GCACAUACUGUGAGCUCGAUGAGUAGGGCGGGACACGUGGUAUCCUGUCUGAAUAUGGGGGGACCAUCCUCCAAGGCUAAAUACUCCUGACUGACCGAUAGUGAACCAGUACCGUGAGGGAAAGGCGAAAAGAACCCCGGCGAGGGGAGUGAAAAAGAACCUGAAACCGUGUACGUACAAGCAGUGGGAGCACGCUUAGGCGUGUGACUGCGUACCUUUUGUAUAAUGGGUCAGCGACUUAUAUUCUGUAGCAAGGUUAACCGAAUAGGGGAGCCGAAGGGAAACCGAGUCUUAACUGGGCGUUAAGUUGCAGGGUAUAGACCCGAAACCCGGUGAUCUAGCCAUGGGCAGGUUGAAGGUUGGGUAACACUAACUGGAGGACCGAACCGACUAAUGUUGAAAAAUUAGCGGAUGACUUGUGGCUGGGGGUGAAAGGCCAAUCAAACCGGGAGAUAGCUGGUUCUCCCCGAAAGCUAUUUAGGUAGCGCCUCGUGAAUUCAUCUCCGGGGGUAGAGCACUGUUUCGGCAAGGGGGUCAUCCCGACUUACCAACCCGAUGCAAACUGCGAAUACCGGAGAAUGUUAUCACGGGAGACACACGGCGGGUGCUAACGUCCGUCGUGAAGAGGGAAACAACCCAGACCGCCAGCUAAGGUCCCAAAGUCAUGGUUAAGUGGGAAACGAUGUGGGAAGGCCCAGACAGCCAGGAUGUUGGCUUAGAAGCAGCCAUCAUUUAAAGAAAGCGUAAUAGCUCACUGGUCGAGUCGGCCUGCGCGGAAGAUGUAACGGGGCUAAACCAUGCACCGAAGCUGCGGCAGCGACGCUGAUGCGUUGUUGGGUAGGGGAGCGUUCUGUAAGCCUGUGAAGGUGUGCUGUGAGGCAUGCUGGAGGUAUCAGAAGUGCGAAUGCUGACAUAAGUAACGAUAAAGCGGGUGAAAAGCCCGCUCGCCGGAAGACCAAGGGUUCCUGUCCAACGUUAAUCGGGGCAGGGUGAGUCGACCCCUAAGGCGAGGCCGAAAGGCGUAGUCGAUGGGAAACAGGUUAAUAUUCCUGUACUUGGUGUUACUGCGAAGGGGGGACGGAGAAGGCUAUGUUGGCCGGGCGACGGUUGUCCCGGUUUAAGCGUGUAGGCUGGUUUUCCAGGCAAAUCCGGAAAAUCAAGGCUGAGGCGUGAUGACGAGGCACUACGGUGCUGAAGCAACAAAUGCCCUGCUUCCAGGAAAAGCCUCUAAGCAUCAGGUAACAUCAAAUCGUACCCCAAACCGACACAGGUGGUCAGGUAGAGAAUACCAAGGCGCUUGAGAGAACUCGGGUGAAGGAACUAGGCAAAAUGGUGCCGUAACUUCGGGAGAAGGCACGCUGAUAUGUAGGUGAAGCGACUUGCUCGUGGAGCUGAAAUCAGUCGAAGAUACCAGCUGGCUGCAACUGUUUAUUAAAAACACAGCACUGUGCAAACACGAAAGUGGACGUAUACGGUGUGACGCCUGCCCGGUGCCGGAAGGUUAAUUGAUGGGGUCAGCGCAAGCGAAGCUCUUGAUCGAAGCCCCGGUAAACGGCGGCCGUAACUAUAACGGUCCUAAGGUAGCGAAAUUCCUUGUCGGGUAAGUUCCGACCUGCACGAAUGGCGUAAUGAUGGCCAGGCUGUCUCCACCCGAGACUCAGUGAAAUUGAACUCGCUGUGAAGAUGCAGUGUACCCGCGGCAAGACGGAAAGACCCCGUGAACCUUUACUAUAGCUUGACACUGAACAUUGAGCCUUGAUGUGUAGGAUAGGUGGGAGGCUUUGAAGUGUGGACGCCAGUCUGCAUGGAGCCGGCCUUGAAAUACCACCCUUUAAUGUUUGAUGUUCUAACGUUGACCCGUGAUCCGGGUUGCGGACAGUGUCUGGUGGGUAGUUUGACUGGGGCGGUCUCCUCCUAAAGAGUAACGGAGGAGCACGAAGGUUGGCUAAUCCUGGUCGGACAUCAGGAGGUUAGUGCAAUGGCAUAAGCCAGCUUGACUGCGAGCGUGACGGCGCGAGCAGGUGCGAAAGCAGGUCAUAGUGAUCCGGUGGUUCUGAAUGGAAGGGCCAUCGCUCAACGGAUAAAAGGUACUCCGGGGAUAACAGGCUGAUACCGCCCAAGAGUUCAUAUCGACGGCGGUGUUUGGCACCUCGAUGUCGGCUCAUCACAUCCUGGGGCUGAAGUAGGU